AUGGUCACAAUCCACAAGCUGCUGUUCACUAAGGCUCACAAGCUCUCCGGUCGCCAAAAAGUGAGCUCCCUCCACUGCUCCAGUCGUACUGAAUGACCAGCAUGAUCCACAUGAGCCCUGAUUUUUAACAUCGGUGACGGCUCCUUUUUCACGCCAGUCAAAAUCAGAUGGAAGAUCUUUAGUCGGGAGGAUUGGAGCUUUCUCGGCAUUAAGAUUAGGUCGGGGCUUGUUAAGUCCAAGGUAAGUCCGGCGAAACUCCGACGGAGUCAAAUCGGAGAACUGCGUAAUACCGUGCUCAGCGGAAGGGUCAAGGAGCUGGUGACGCUUCGCACGGCGAAGAUUAGCCUUGAAUACCUUCAAUCUAUGGUCAUGUUCCUCCUGAGAAGCAUAGAUCUUUCCAAACUUAGCCUUAAAAAGUGAAAAGUGAUGCUCGGCGUUUAACAUAUGGUUGUCAUCGUUUCCCGAUACAACUUGUCGGAUCAACGGAUCGUCGUCGGAGAAAGCAAUCGCCGACGAGAAAAGAGCGAAAGCGAGAAAAGAUAAGAGAAAAAGACGAUCCAUUAGAAGAGUGGAGAAGAAAA
Molecule: unclassified non-coding RNA, 581 nt
Filed under: Hevea brasiliensis (rubber tree)
Lineage: Eukaryota; Viridiplantae; Streptophyta; Magnoliopsida; Malpighiales; Euphorbiaceae
Source: RNAcentral